UUUGUGUCAAUGUUCACAAGAACAUUUCAAAAGCUACCAAGACAAGGACUACGUACGUGAAGAUGAUAUCUUAGCAAAAACAGUAUGUAAUUGUAGACACAAAUAAUACAACAUUUAGCCCUACCAACAAUUUUUGGUCCUUUCUCUUGUUAUUUUGAACUUCAUUAAUCAUUUCGACCUUUUAUUGCUUUGAUUAGUAGAGUAAAAGGAGAGGUUCUAGGAUCAUCAAUGUCAUAUAUAUGUAAGCGAGAUCGAUCAAGAUACAUCAACCUAACUGAAAGUUAGGGUUGGGCGACAAGCCUUAACAUAAUGCUAGGGUUAGUCACUUAGUCAUCUGCAUGCGUCCGUAUGACUAAAAAAAGUGAGAUUCAAAUACAUCCAGAGCUAAGAAAACCACUGGGCGCGCAGCUCCUAGUUGAUCACCUAAACUUGUGUUGGCCGGAAAUAGCUAUAGCUGGCCAAGAUUAAAGUACACAAGCUGGUCAUUUUAGCUCACAAGCUGGUCAAAUGAAGCAAACACAUUUUCAAUGGCCGGGUGAGAAGAUCGAUCAUGUACCAUUGUCUCUAUAUAUAUUGCGAAGUCCCUAUCCACUUUAUUCCAAACUCUUCUGGGACAUGGCCGGCUUCCUAUUGUUGCUCUAUCUGACUCGAGGUUUGGAGGCAUACAUAAUCCCCAAAAACUACUCAAUGUUGUUAACUUCUGUAAUUCAUAUGCUUGCCCGUUUGAAGGGAGCAAAGGGAUUCUCUUCUGUCUAGUCAACCAUCCCUUGUAAAUUACUUCAUUU
Molecule: long non-coding RNA, 785 nt
Filed under: Fragaria vesca (wild strawberry)
Lineage: Eukaryota; Viridiplantae; Streptophyta; Magnoliopsida; Rosales; Rosaceae
Description: long non-coding RNA (FVES_LNC003071)
Source: RNAcentral